AAGAUUGGGAAAUGGGCGAAAGCCUGACCCAGCAACGCACCGCGACGGAAGAAGGAUUUCGGUUUGGAAACUUCUUUUAGCAGGGACGAAGACGUCACGGUACCUGCAGAACAAGCUCCGGCUAACUACGUGCCAGCAGCCGCGGUAAUACGUAGGGAGCAAGCGUUAUCCGGAUUUACUGGGUGUAAAGGGCGCGUAGGCGGGAGUAUAAGUCAGAUGUGAAAUCUGGGGGCUCAACCCCCAAACUGCAUUUGAAACUGUAUUUCUUGAGUGAUGGAGAGGCAAGUGGAAUUCCUAGUGUAGCGGUGAAAUGCGUAGAUAUUAGGGGGAACACCAGUGGCGAAGGCGACUUGCUGGACAUUAACUGACGCUGAGGCGCGAAAGCGUGGGGAGCAAACAGG
RNAcentral lists this ribosomal RNA (401 nucleotides) under uncultured bacterium. Its description in RNAcentral is "partial 16S ribosomal RNA". It matches the Rfam family "Bacterial small subunit ribosomal RNA", at positions 359 to 776 of the family's 1533-position model. The record is from RNAcentral.